This is a non-coding RNA of Halomonas elongata DSM 2581, 284 nucleotides long. NCBI's taxonomy places the organism in Bacteria, Pseudomonadati, Pseudomonadota, Gammaproteobacteria, Oceanospirillales, Halomonadaceae. The record is from Rfam.
CCUCCUCCACCUGCUGCGGGCAGAUGAAAUGAAUAUGCGAGUCGAUGUGACCGGCGGUGAGAAUCUUGCCCUCGCCGGCGAUCACCUCGGUGCCGGGGCCGAUGACGAUCUCGACAUCGGGCUGGGUAUCGGGAUUGCCGGCCUUGCCGAUGGCGGCGAUGCGACCGUCCUGGAGCCCCACGUCCGCCUUGACGAUGCCCCACCAGUCGAGGAUCAGGGCAUUGGUGAUCACGGUAUCCAUCACGGCGGCGUCGUGACGCUGACUCUGGCCCAUGCCAUCGCGG